RNAcentral lists this ribosomal RNA (293 nucleotides) under uncultured eukaryote. RNAcentral describes it as "partial 18S ribosomal RNA". It matches the Rfam family "Eukaryotic small subunit ribosomal RNA", at positions 6 to 299 of the family's 1831-position model. The record is from RNAcentral.
GGUUGAUCCUGCCAGUAGUCAUAUGCUUGUCUCAAAGAUUAAGCCAUGCAUGUCUAAGUAUAAACAAAUUCAUACUGUGAAACUGCGAAUGGCUCAUUAAAUCAGUUAUAGUUUAUUUGAUGGUAUCUUGCUACAUGGAUAACUGUGGUAAUUCUAGAGCUAAUACAUGCUUAAAAGCCCCGACUUCUGGAAGGGGUGUAUUUAUUAGAUUCAAGACCAUCGGGUUUCGGCCCUCCUUGGUGACUCAUAAUAACUUCUCGAACCGCAUGGCCUUGCGCCGGCGGUGCUUCAUU